RNAcentral lists this long non-coding RNA (1494 nucleotides) under Ananas comosus (pineapple). RNAcentral describes it as "long non-coding RNA (ACOM_LNC028980)". The record is from RNAcentral. Lineage: Eukaryota; Viridiplantae; Streptophyta; Magnoliopsida; Poales; Bromeliaceae.
GUUUGGUUUGAAAUAGUUAGUACCUUAGUUAAUCUUGCUUCGUUUGGUUCGGAGUUAAAGUAAGAACUAAUUAUUCCAGAAAUAGAUAUAAGUUCAGGUGUAAACAAUUAGUUCAGAUACUAGUUGACAGAGUACUCGUUUGUCGCUUUUAUCUUUAGAAGCAUUGUUCUAAAGUAUUAUAAAAUAUUAUUUUAUAUUUUUAUAUUAAAAAUUUUUAAUUGACUGAAAUGAAGUACAAAAAUUUUAUUUUAAACUACAAUAAAAUUACAUUGCAUAGUUUCAUAGAAAAUAAGUGCAUGUUCUAAUAAAAUAUUAUUUUAUAUUUUUAUGUUAAAAAUUUUUAAUUGGCUGAAAUGAAGUACAAAAAUUUUAUUUUAGGCUACAAUAAAAUUACAUUGCAUAGUUUCAUAGAAAAUAAGUGCUAUUUCUAUAACAAUGUUUCUAAAGAUAAAAUGGACAAACGAGUAUUACAGAAAAUUAACUGAGAAUUAAAAUCUCUAUAUCCUAGUGAGGACACCUAUUGUAAAUCAACCAUAUUAGCGAGUAUACCAGGACAGUAGAGUGUUUAAACAUAGGUAGUUAGUAUUGCUCUUUUCUUAUCUUUAAACCACUCUCAUUUAUUUCUUUCGCUUUUAUUUUAUUACAACAAAAUGUAAGAUAAAUAAUGGUAUGAUUUAUUUUAGAAUAAAAAAUAUAUAUAAAUUUAAAAUCAAGUAUGAUCACUAACUUGAGAAUUAGUAGUCAAUCCAUAAGUAACAUAUUAUAAUAAAAUAAUUUAUAGUCAAGAGUCCUAGAGGAUAAAUUGCACUGCUAUCUCCUAAACCUUUGGCGAGUUUCACUUAACCCCUCCGAACUCUUAAAAUAGACAUCUAACACCCUAAACUCUAAUAUUUCAUUCGUUUUACUCCUUCCAUCAAUUUUCGAUUAACGGAGUUUGACGAAAAACUGAUGGAAGUGGUAACAUGAAUAAAAUAUUGGAGUUUAGGAUGUUAGAUGUCCAUUGUAAGAGUUCGAGGGGUAAAAUGAAACUUCACCAAAAGUUUAGGGGGUAACAUUGCAAUUUAUCCCAAAGGGUAUCUUGAUUUUUGUUAGUAGAUCAUAUCUAGUCAAUUCAGGCAUUAAUCUGCUUUAAUUAACUACACACAAAAAAGAGAAAAAUAAAUAACCACCUAUCUAAAGCAAAUCCGCCACAAAACUCUAAUUAAAUUCAGUUUUAAAUUUUCAAAAAGAAUUAAACCAAAAAUUAUUUUAGAACACACCUGGCAAUCAUGAGGCGCAAAUAAUGUGUCACCUUUUUUUUUUUAGAGAUAGGUACCACGCUAUCCGCUUCGUUUAUUUCAUUUAGAAAUAAACUUAUCUGAAAAUGUGAAUCAACUAGAAUUCGAACUUGGGUCUCGGGUACCAACCACCAAGCCCUUUGCCACUUACUCUAGAGACGGUCGGUAAGUAAUGUGUCACCUUGAUCAUCAAUAUCAACUCCAUUCCUCGACCCAG